Aethalodelphis obliquidens (Pacific white-sided dolphin) is the source of this 2539-nucleotide long non-coding RNA. RefSeq lists it as uncharacterized. The record is from RefSeq and is a predicted model, not a curated record. NCBI's taxonomy places the organism in Eukaryota, Metazoa, Chordata, Mammalia, Artiodactyla, Delphinidae. The transcript has 2 exons.
UGUGGGAUCUUCCCGGACCAGGGCUCAAACCCGUGUCCCCUGCAUUGGUAGGCGGAUUCUUACCCACUGCGCCACAUCUUAAAUGUAGUGCCAUUUGUGAAGUUUCCUAAUUGCUUUCUUCCCACUUACCCUCUCAUUCUCUGGCUUGUUUUCUUCUUACUAGCUGUAUAUUAAUGAAAUUUAUUGGGAGAGUCUAUAUGUUCAGUAACUAAAAACAGUUAUUGUUUAUUGAAACUUACUAUACGCUCAGCACUCUCUUAAACUCUUAACCCUCAAACAGUUCUGUGCUACUGUUCACCUUAUUUGAGCCAGAGCAUCUAAAUGUUCUGUGAAACAAGUCCAGCAAUUAUUGGUUGUUCUACUUUAAAAGGAAUUUCUUCCCCUCACGCUCCCUCACUUUUAUCCUCUGGCUGACAGCACUGGAAGAUUAAGAAAGCAAAUGCAACUUGCUUCUUACUUUUGGUGUUGCAGAAAUUUUUACUCCUUUGAAAUAUGAAGUGGACAGUAGAGGGGACGUCCAUGCGUAUUUUUACCUGUGACAUUGCGUAGGUCAUCUCAGCUGUGAGCAGAUUGAAAUUGCUAGUUUUUAAACUGUUCAGCAACGAUGUAAUUUGUAUAAGUUUAGGCAAAAAGCUGAUUGUCAUAUAAACGUUUUCUAUUGCUCUGCUGAUAGUGAACACUCAACAUGAUUUGGAUUUUUUAGUAUUUAGUUCAUUCAUUCAUUCAGCAAACGCCAGGUAAAAUUAUUCCCACAUUCUAAGGGUAGAUCAAGAAGCCACAGCUUUUACUCCUCAAGGAUUCCAAAGUGGGGAGAUAAACACAUAAACAGAUAAUUUUACUCUAGUGAGAGAAGUUCUGUAAUAGAAGGAUGAGCUAUAUGCCAUGGGAAUACAGAGCAGAAAGUAAGUCCUCUUAGGAGAGCAAAAGAAAGCUUACUGGAGGAGGUGACAUUUGAUGGGUCUGGAAGUUUGAAGAGCUGAUAAGCAGGGUAAGGCAUUCUAGGGGAUAGACUGCACAGAGGCAUAGUGAAGUGCAAGUGCAUGGAAUAUUUGAGGACUAGCAAACAUUUGGGUGUGACUGGUAUAUACAUCAUGUGGGCAGCAGGGAGAAACAUUCUGAGACAAGAUUGGGGAGAAAAGAAGGUAAGCUCUUCAAGGGUCCUGAGAGUCGUGUGUACCUCCAUGAGCAGAGGAUCUUAAACUUUACACUGGAGGUAAUUGGUGGAGGGAGUUGGGCUUUUACCUAGUUUCCUUGCAUGAAUCUCUUAUCUUUUUCAGGGAGGCUAUGCUAGGCUCAGUACUCAAAAGGCCUGGAAUUUCCAAGUUGUACUUCUUGGGGGACUUUUCAUCUGUAAGAAACUAGAUUGCAGCUUCACAGUCUUCAGCUUUUAUUAGUAGAGUGUCAUCCAUCAUUGUAAUCAGUAGACGUAUCGACUUUCAUUGUAAUGAUAAUUUAUUAGAAAUUGUUUCCUGGAGACAGUAACAGGGAACAUUUGGUCAAUCUGGAAAGUAGCUUUGUUGCCUUGGUAACUGAAAGAAUGCAGAGAAACCAGUUGUGGAGCUUAUCAAAACCAAGGCCCUGAACAGGUUGAGUACUAGCUCAAGGCACAAGGCAAAACCAGAAACAUCUGCCAGUGCAUCUGCUGAGAUCAGAGACCUGCAAGCUGUGCCAGAGCCCUUGGAAGCUUGACAAGUUGUUAUACAGUCUGAUAAAAGAGAGGUCGCCUUCUGACCAGACACAUGGGAGUCCAUGCACUUUCCUCAGACUCAGACGGAAUGGAACUUAAAAACCUUCAGCCCAAAGGACAUUUGAAAUCAGCACCUGUCUACAUGAGUUUAACGAUGGGAGAGAUCAGGUCAAAUGAUAGAAGUCCGUGAAAGGAAUCCGUCCAUUCCUCCUUGAGCAGAACUUUUUUGAGAGCCUACUUAAGCACUGUAUCAAGCACUGUGCUGGGCACCUGCAUAGCAGAGGUGGACAGGUCUUAUUCCUGCCUUCUAGAAGCUUCCAGGAAAGGCACAUACAGAGAAGAUUAUGGUGUAGUUUCCAAAUCCUAAGAAGAAGUAGAACAAGUAUAGUUCUGUGUAAACAUUAAGGAUUCAGUUUAGGAGUUAGGGGUCUAGGAGACUUUACAGAGGAGGUGACAUUUCUGUGAGUUCUGAAUAAGUAGAAGCAGAACCCAGAGGCAAGGAAUUCUAGUGGCAACUGAGUCUAGAAUUUAAGUCUUCAGGUUCUUAAGUACAUUUCUUUUUACCUGGGCACACUCAACUUUCUAAGACUUCAUGUAAGUUCCUCAUCUGCCAACUUGAUAAAAUAUCACAGUGAUGGGGGCGGGGUGGGGGGGUUGAGUUCCUUGAUGCAACUCUCUCCCGUGGGUGAAUGUGCAUUCCUGAGUGAGAUUGUGUUUGUAAUUCUGAAUUGGACUAGGGCACUGACAGGGUCAUCCUCAGAUUUUACUAAUUAUUCUGUACUAGAUUUUUCUCAUUGUUUGUCAUCCAGGUAGCAGUCACCUCAUUGGGGAGAAAUAAACACAUUAAUUUUU